GUGCCAGCAGCCGCGGUAAUACGGAGGGUGCGAGCGUUAAUCGGAAUUACUGGGCGUAAAGGGCGCGUAGGCGGUCGCGCAAGUCGGGUGUGAAAGCCCCGGGCUCAACCUGGGAAUUGCAUUCGAUACUGCGUAACUAGAGUCUGGUAGAGGGAAGCGGAAUUCCGCAUGUAGCGGUGAAAUGCGUAGAUAUGCGGAGGAACACCAGUGGCGAAGGCGGCUUCCUGGACCAAGACUGACGCUGAGGCGCGAAAGCGUGGGGAGCAAACAGGAUUAGAUACCCUGGUAGUCCACGCCCUAAACGAUGAGGACUAGACGUUGGGGGGAUAAAACCCCUUAGUGUCGCAGCUAACGCGUGAAGUCCUCCGCCUGGGGGGUACGGCCGCAAGGUUGAAACUUAAAUGAAUUGACGG
Molecule: ribosomal RNA, 413 nt
Filed under: uncultured bacterium
Lineage: Bacteria
Description: bacterial SSU rRNA
Rfam family: Bacterial small subunit ribosomal RNA
Source: RNAcentral